CUCCCCCAAGAGUCCACAUCGACGGGGAGGUUUGGCACCUCGAUGUCGGCUCAUCGCAUCCUGGGGCUGUAGUCGGUCCCAAGGGUUGGGCUGUUCGCCCAUUAAAGCGGUACGCGAGCUGGGUUCAGAACGUCGUGAGACAGUUCGGUCCCUAUCCGUCGUGGGCGUAGGAAAUUUGAGAGGAGCUGUCCUUAGUACGAGAGGACCGGGAUGGACGCACCGCUGGUGUACCAGUUGUUCUGCCAAGGGCAUAGCUGGGUAGCUAUGUGCGGAAGGGAUAAGUGCUGAAAGCAUCUAAGCAUGAAGCCCCCCUCAAGAUGAGAUUUCCCAUAGCGUAAGCUAGUAAGAUCCCUGAAAGAUGAUCAGGUUGAUAGGUUCGAGGUGGAAGCAUGGUGACAUGUGGAGCUGACGAAUACUAAUAGAUCGAGGACUUAACCAUAUAA
This 443-nucleotide ribosomal RNA is filed under the name Bacillus paranthracis. Its description in RNAcentral is "partial 23S ribosomal RNA". It matches the Rfam family "Bacterial large subunit ribosomal RNA", at positions 2487 to 2925 of the family's 2925-position model. The record is from RNAcentral. Lineage: Bacteria; Bacillati; Bacillota; Bacilli; Caryophanales; Bacillaceae.